GACUUCCUUCUCAGGAUGGAACCAGCUUGGUGGCUUGAGGGAAAGGGGUUCUGAGUUGCAAAUCAGAAACUUGAAGAUGAAAUGGCUACUACGCUGGGUAUUGCCUUUAUCUUGAAUGCCAGCCUGAUGGUCCAAGGUGAACAAGCCUUCCUGUGUUUUCUGAAUGUGCAGUUCCCCCGCACUUUGCCUGCCACCAUGUAAGAUGUGUCUUUGCGCCUCCUUUGCCUUCCACCAUGAUUGUGCGGCCUCCCCAGCCAUGUGGAACGGCUGGAAAUGAUGGUAUGGAGAUGUUGCACCACGUGGUCCCUUCACUAGAGGAAGAGUGGUAUGAAUCGUGUCCGUCACUGUGACACCAUGCAGUCUUCCUGGCAGUACACAAGUUGUGAGAGUUUGCUACCAUUUUUACAUUUUUGUGAUUUAAAGUGUUGAAUAACAAUUAAUAAUGUCAUACAUACUAAAAUAUUAUUUUUAUCAUUUUACCCUUUUUUAGAAUUUAGUACUUAAACUUUCAAGAUAUUGUUAAAACUGAUAUUUCAGACAGAAAUUCUAGGUAAAUGACAUCUACUGUAUUUUAAGUUGGGGGCAUCCUAGAAAACCUGAGAAAAGUGGUGGCCAAAUUCCUGACCCUGCCUCUGUCCCUCAGUGCUUUCUGUCCAGACCCUUAGAGCCCCUGUGAGUCCUGAACGCUGCUCUGGCCUGCUGGACACCCAGGCCAGUGGCCCCUUAGACAGGCUGGACAUGCCUUCGUCUCACAAGGAGGCUCACCAGUACACAGAUGUUCAUAGUCUUCACAGCAGUUCCCAUGCCAGAGACACCGGCGGUCACACUGGCAGGCAGCGUCCCGGUUAAAUUUCUCAUUACAUCGAGAUGCACAGGAUUCUAUUUUUCCUAUGGGCAGUAAAGGUCACCAACUCAGCUCUAUGGAGACCCUGUUCUCCCCAGGGUGCCUCCUGCAGGAGGGUUCACAGACCAGGGCAGGAGUGUACCUGGCAGGGAAGGGCAUUACUCUCUGCAAAGGAGAAGUACAUCCACAGCCUCCCAUGCACAACAUAAGCCUCCUCCCCACCACCCAACACCCACCAAAUAUUUCAAGGCUCAUCAAAGAGACCAGGAUCACAAACCCAAAUCCCUAUUUGGGUUAGGCCCAUAACAUAAGCAAGUAAAGAAGCAGGGUAUGAGGCAGUAGGAAGAAAUGGAGACCGUGACAAACUUGAGAGCAAUGCUCCAUCUGAAAUUUGCAGCUGAUGCUCAGCUCUAGCCGAUUGUGGCCAUGUUGGGAUGUGUGCUCAGUGUUGCCAGAGCCUUCCCUUUUUUUUUCAAGAUAAAUCUUCAUUUUUAUGUGAAAUUUUCCAACCUUGUAACACUUUAAGCACACCAAAGAAAGAGGUCUGUGAACUGGGUGUAGCCCACAGGCCCCCUUCACCUGUCAUGUCAUGCUGCCCCAGGGAUGUCCCCUGCCCCUGACCCUCCGCUGGCUCUUAUUCCAUCCCUGUUAUGUUAUUUGCUUCUUUGCUCUUGUCUCCCCUUCUGGUCUUCUCUGCACGCUCUUUCCCCCUGUGUCACAUCUUUCUGUUCUUUCCCGUCUUUGGAGUACAUUCAGAUGAAUUUAUGCUCAGGGUGGGGAAUGAGGCGGGUGCGGGUGAGAAUUGGGCUCUGGCAUAGCAUUCUAUUAUGUAACCACAGACCACAUCCCCCACUGCAGCCAAAUGGUUUGCAGAAGCAAGCUUUUGGUCGCAAGGGACAUAAGACAAGACAUUUUGAAGGAACAGUGGAAACCCACUAUCCACUCUGGGCUUUAAGGGUGAUAACAGAGUCUUUGUUCGAUUUGAGGUUCCUGAGGUUUGGAUUUCACGAACGCUGGGUUCAGAGGUCAUACUGUGGGUUACAG
This 1888-nucleotide long non-coding RNA is filed under the name Homo sapiens (human). Its description in RNAcentral is "HSALNT0188460". Lineage: Eukaryota; Metazoa; Chordata; Mammalia; Primates; Hominidae. The record is from RNAcentral.